AGAUGGCCACCUCCUCCCUGUGUCUACACGUGGUCUUCACUCCUCCUUUGUCAUCUUAAUCUCUUCUUCUGAUAAGGACACCCACCAGUCUGACCAUAUUGGAGCCCCGCCACGUGAGCUCAGUUAACUGUACCUCUCUAGAGACCCUAUUUCCGAACACAGUCACGUUCUGAGGUAUGGGUGAGUAGGACUUCAACCUAUGGUUUUAAGGGGGACAGAAUUCAUCCAGUCAUAGUCACCAAGCUUCCCUGAAGCUCUACUAGUCUGGCAUAGAGAAAUCAGAGUGAACCAAGAUCAAAAUCUGAGGGCAACCUUGGCUUUCCCCUUCUACACAGAAUUGGAUGACAGCUAGGAGAUGGAUCUAUGAAUUUUCUCCCCUGAGAAACCAGACGGGACCACCUAGAGUCGGUCUCCUUCCCCCAAACGCCCUGGACCUACCAUGGGCACAAGCUGGGGCUCAGGGAAUACCUCUGUGCUCCACCACUCAGCAGCUGCUUUUCAAGAGAAGGAAAACACUACUACACGCCAUCCACAGCCACCGCACAAUACUGUAUCCCUUUGUCAGGGAUAAUAAAACAGACGGGAAGUCACUCUGGAACUUACUAUGGCCUUGGGUCAAAGGCAGGCUGACCGGGGCUGGCAGAAGAAAGCUAAAACUUACUUCUCUGGGAUUCUAGGAAUUUCAACAAAUGAGACCAACAGCAGAUAGUUUCAGAUUAAAGAAAGGCAAUGUGUUCCCAAACUUUGACCCCUGUGCACAGGCUCUGCAGAAAAGCUGUCACUUUGCACUCAGUUUCCUUAUAGGUAAAAUGGGGAUAAUAAUAUUGUCUGUCUGCCUAAUUUGUACAAGGCUCUUACAAGAGGGUAUAGCACAAAGUAAGUGCUUAAUAAAUGUGAGCUUUUCUUUGUAUUCCUGUUUCAUAGUAUUUGUAACUAUUUCACAAGAUUCAGAAACCUUGUCCCUGGACUGUGAUCAUCGCCUUUUCUUCAGUCUUCCAUUCACAGACCCAGCCUCUGGUGGGCAGUCACAACACAGCUGGCCAUGUCCAGAGAGGUCCAAAAACCUGCCCCAGGUGUCAAAGCAGCUAAGAAACAGGGCCGGGUGAGACUCUGCCUGACUCUUUCAUUCUGCCAAAUCUAAGCUAAGCAGUGAUUCCUAUGCCCACCUGGGAGGGGAGAAACCUGAGGCCCACCUUGUAAAUCCCUACAGGCUCAGUGUGCCUGGCAUUGGGAUGGGCAGAGGAGACAGAGGGAAUGCCAAAAAAAGAGCAGUUACAAAGGACAGACCACAGGUCCAGGAUGAGGGGACUUUCAACGGCUUGUUCGUGGUUCCGUUUUUGCCCAAACUCUCUCGAUCCACCUUUGAGCAACAGUAAUUAUCUCUUUGCCUCCAUCAACUCCAUUUACCAUCCCUGUCCAAUUCUUUCCCAAUAAGCCAGAGAAUAAGAGUGCAGACAUUAAAGGUCAGAUUUUCAUGGUGCUGAACCCAUUUAACCCAGCUGUGUGGCUUUGAGUAAGCUACCUAAGCUCUCUGAGCCUCCAUUUCCUCGUGUGCAAACCAAGGAAAAUACUCACCUACUUAUUAGAAGGAAAGAAAAGACUGAGUACCUGCCAUGUGACAGGCUUUCAACAAGGGACCACCUCUUGUCAUAAACAAGAGGCACAUGAACAAGUGACCACGGGUUUAACUUGUACACAGGUAUUAUGAAAACAACAAGUCUGCAUUUCAAUAAAUAUUUGUUAUAUAAAUGAACGGGACUGUUCCCAGAGCCUGCUGCUUGGAGGAAGCUAGGGAAUAAGGAACUCAAAAACAAGGUAAGAAUGUCAGAGCAGGGAAGGGAAGGGAGGAGGGAGGGAGUCGUGACCUUGGGUCAAAGGUAGGCUGACCGAUGCUGGCAGAAGAAAACUUAAACUUACUUUUCUGGGAUUCUAGGAAUUCCAACAAGUGACACCAACAACAGAUACUUUCAAAUUAAAGAAAGGCAUUGUUCCCAAACUUUGGCCCCUGUGCACAAGCUCUGCAGAAAAGCUAUCACUUUGUACUCAGUUUCCUUGUAGAUCAAAUGGGGAUAAUAAUAUUGCCUGUCUGCCUAAUUUGUAUGAAGCUCUUACAAGAGGGUCCAGCACAUAUAGUAGGUGCUCAAUAAAUGUGAGCUCUUCUUUGU
Homo sapiens (human) is the source of this 2165-nucleotide long non-coding RNA. Ensembl annotates it as long intergenic non-protein coding RNA 2912. The record is from Ensembl. NCBI's taxonomy places the organism in Eukaryota, Metazoa, Chordata, Mammalia, Primates, Hominidae.